Molecule: ribosomal RNA, 491 nt
Filed under: uncultured bacterium
Lineage: Bacteria
Description: bacterial SSU rRNA
Rfam family: Bacterial small subunit ribosomal RNA
Source: RNAcentral
UCAGGAUGAACGCUGGCGGCGUGCCUAACACAUGCAAGUCGAACGGAGUAAUUAAGCGGAAGUUUCGGAUGGAAGCAUAGUACUAGUGGCGGACGGGUGAGUAACGCGUGGGCAACCUGCCCUGUACCGGGGGAUAACACUUAGAAAUAGGUGCUAAUACCGCAUAAGCGCACAGCUUCGCAUGAAGGUGUGUGAAAAACUCCGGUGGUACAGGAUGGACCCGCGUCUGAUUAGCUAGUUGGUGGGGUAGAGGCCUACCAAGGCGACGAUCAGUAGCCGGCCUGAGAGGGUGACCGGCCACAUUGGGACUGAGACACGGCCCAAACUCCUACGGGAGGCAGCAGUGGGGAAUAUUGCACAAUGGGGGAAACCCUGAUGCAAGCGACGCCGCGUGAGUGAAGAAGUAUUUCGGUAUGUAAAGCUCUAUCAGCAGGGAAGAAAAUGACGGUACCUGACUAAGAAGCCCCGGCUAACUACGUGCCAGCAGCGGC